GAUGAACGCUGGCGGCGUGCUUAACACAUGCAAGUCGAACGAUGAAGCUCAGCUUGCUGGGUGGAUUAGUGGCGAACGGGUGAGUAACACGUGAGUAACCUGCCCUUAACUCUGGGAUAAGCCUGGGAAACUAGGUCUAAUACCGGAUAGGAGCGCCUACCGCAUGGUGGGUGUUGGAAAGAUUUAUCGGUUUUGGUUGGACUCGCGGCCUAUCAGCUUGUUGGUGAGGUAAUGGCUCACCAAGGCGACGACGGGUAGCCGGCCUGAGAGGGUGACCGGCCACACUGGGACUGAGACACGGCCCAGACUCCUACGGGAGGCAGCAGUGGGGAAUAUUGCACAAUGGGCGAAAGCCUGAUGCAGCGACGCCGCGUGAGGGAUGACGGCCUUCGGGUUGUAAACCUCUUUCAGUAGGGAAGAAGCGAAAGUGACGGUACCUGCAGAAGAAGCACCGGCUAACUACGUG
This 466-nucleotide ribosomal RNA is filed under the name uncultured bacterium. RNAcentral's name for it is "partial 16S ribosomal RNA". It matches the Rfam family "Bacterial small subunit ribosomal RNA", at positions 28 to 507 of the family's 1533-position model. The record is from RNAcentral.